UACGAACCGUACGAACGUUAUUCGGAAUCACUGGGCUUAAAGGGUGCGUAGGCGGCCAUGUAAGUGAGGUGUGAAAUCCCUCGGCUCAACCGAGGAACUGCGCUUCAUACUGCAUGGCUUGAGGGAGACGGGGGUAAGCGGAACUGAUGGUGGAGCGGUGAAAUGCGUUGAUAUCAUCAGGAACACCGGUGGCGAAAGCGGCUUACUGGGUCUCUUCUGACGCUGAGGUACGAAAGCUAGGGUAGCGAACGGG
Molecule: ribosomal RNA, 253 nt
Filed under: uncultured bacterium
Lineage: Bacteria
Description: partial 16S ribosomal RNA
Rfam family: Bacterial small subunit ribosomal RNA
Source: RNAcentral